This is a long non-coding RNA of Pipra filicauda (Wire-tailed manakin), 514 nucleotides long. RefSeq lists it as uncharacterized. The record is from RefSeq and is a predicted model, not a curated record. The transcript has 4 exons. NCBI's taxonomy places the organism in Eukaryota, Metazoa, Chordata, Aves, Passeriformes, Pipridae.
GCUGGCAACUGCAUUUUGGGGAGGAAUUUAUUCCACUGUGAUGCAGAUAGAUGACUGCACAGGAUGCCGAAUAACGAACUGGAAGGAGAUUCCCUCAACAAUGGCUUCUUUUUACUUAUCUACCCGCCACUGAAAAACAAUUUCUUUUUCCUGACAAUAUUUCCAUUCAUUCAUGUUUAUUAGGUCCUUUUGCUUUCCUCAAAGCACUGGCAUUGGAAGGAUUUGAAAGAAAAAAUAGAAGCUGGGAUUAGAGCCAGACUGAGGAGAAACGAUGCAGUCUGUCAGCAAGCCCUCAGCAGGUGGAAGUGGUAACAGAGCCAAGAAAGAGCUAUUCCUUGUUGAAGUAAUUGAGGGCAGCAAGUACAACAGCCCAGGAAUGUUCAAAUGCUAACAAGAAUGCAUCAGGAAUGCAUAGAACAUAUAAGAAUUCACAGAAAUGUGUGGGUGUCUUUUUGCAGUGUUUUAUAUAUACUAAAACCCAUAUGCUGCCCUUAGAGACCUGGAAAACACAAAC